CCUGUUUAUUAAAAACAUGUYUUUUUGAUAAUAAUUUAAAGUCUGACCUGCCCACUGAAUUAAUUAAAUGGCCGCGGUAUUUUGACCGUGCAAAGGUAGCAUAAUCAUUAGUUUUUUAAUUGAAAGCUGGAAUGAAGGGUUGAAUGAAAAAAUAACUGUCUCUUUUUAAUUAUAAUAGAAUUUUAUUUUUAAGUUAAAAAGCUUAAAUUUAAUUAGAAGACGAGAAGACCCUAUAGAGUUUAAUAAAUUAUUAAUUAUAAAAUCUUUAGUUUUUAAAUUUUUAUUAUAUUUUAUUUAUUUAAUUGGGGUGAUUGAAAAAUUUAAUAAACUUUUUUUUUAUUAAUACAUUAAUUUAUGAAUAUUUGAUCCUUUUUUAAGAUUAAAAGAUAAAAUUACCUUAGGGAUAACAGCGUUAUUUUUUUUUAGAGUUCAAAUUAAAAAAAAAGAUUGCGACCUCGAUGUUGGAUUAAAAUUAAUUUUUGGUGUAGAAGCUAAAAAUUUUAGGUCUGUUCGACCUUUAAAAUUUUACAUGAUCUGAGUUUARACCGG
Molecule: ribosomal RNA, 549 nt
Filed under: Car cf. condensatus MB-2015
Lineage: Eukaryota; Metazoa; Arthropoda; Insecta; Coleoptera; Caridae
Description: partial 16S ribosomal RNA
Rfam family: Bacterial large subunit ribosomal RNA (bases 403-549)
Source: RNAcentral